Molecule: ribosomal RNA, 257 nt
Filed under: uncultured prokaryote
Description: partial 16S ribosomal RNA
Rfam family: Bacterial small subunit ribosomal RNA
Source: RNAcentral
UAAGACAGAGGGUGCAAACGUUGUUCGGAAUUACUGGGCGUAAAGCGCGUGUAGGCGGCUUGGCAAGUCGGGUGUGAAAGCCCUGGGCUCAACCUAGGAAGUGCACUCGAAACUGCUUCGCUGGAGUGUCGGAGAGGAAAGCGGAAUUCUCGGUGUAGAGGUGAAAUUCGUAGAUAUCGAGAGGAACAUCGGUGGCGAAGGCGGCUUUCUGGACGAUUACUGACGCUGAGACGCGAAAGCGUGGGGAGCAUACAGGA